This 21-nucleotide non-coding RNA is filed under the name Arabidopsis thaliana (thale cress). Lineage: Eukaryota; Viridiplantae; Streptophyta; Magnoliopsida; Brassicales; Brassicaceae. The record is from RNAcentral.
UGGUAUAUCUAACGUCUCAAA